Molecule: long non-coding RNA, 3897 nt
Organism: Bombus huntii
Lineage: Eukaryota; Metazoa; Arthropoda; Insecta; Hymenoptera; Apidae
Exons: 4
Source: RefSeq, a predicted model, not a curated record
UGCUGAAAAAUUAAAACGAGAACAAACCGCGCUGCGUUCUCUAUUUUUUUCUUUUCGCUUUUUUUCUCAUAAUUGUCAUGCCUGUUAACGAACAGUUUCGCGUUCACGGGAGAAAUAAAUAAACGCCGUGGCGUACAGAUUUUUCGCCACUUUCAACAGCACUCCAAUGAGAAUACAUAUAAUGUAGUAUACGGUUGGCCGGCCGUUAUUCGCCGUCGAGGUUGUCGACAGUUAGGGCAACACGUAGCUGCAUAAUCGUAUGCAGAUGCACGACUGGCCGUACACUCAUCCACCAAACUCCAUUCCUACUCCACAUGCAAAUCGUCCACUUGCAACGAACCCGCCAGCAGUAGUUGGUACUGUAUGAUCGAGCGGCUGGCCCGUUUCUCUAUUGGUACAUCGGUUAUGUCUCGUAUAUUUACGUUGCUCAAAUUCAGGACCGUGCGAUUUCUUUGUUAAAGGAACCGGAGAGUUAUAGAGAAGCGACCAACAAUGAUACCUGACGGAUAUCCUUAAUUAGUCAGGUGUUGCGACCACUUUGAGAACAUUGAGAAGCGUGUGGCAAAAAUGUGAGGGAAAGAGUAAGCGAUGACGAGUAUACUCGUCAGACACAGGGAUUCGUCGUUUCUUCGUGACGAAUAAACUCGUCGAAAGAGCUAAGGUCCAUUGGCUUCUCAAUUUCAAUUAUUCAGUGGAACUGUAGGAUCAGAUCAUUCGUCUAACGAACUUCUCGGGAACUGAAUUAAUUACGCUUUUUGUAAGUUUCUCAAUUUCGUAGGAAAAAGUAAGCGAUGACGAGUAUAUUCGUCAGACACAGGGACUCGUCGUUUCUUCGUGACGAGUAUACUCGUCGAAAGGACUGACUGGUUAAGAUGCAUUGGCUUCUCAAUUUUACUUAUUCCGUGGCACUGUAUGAUCAGAUCAUUCGUCGAACGAACUUCUCGGGAACUGGAUUAAUUACGCUUUUUGUAUGUUUUUCAAUUUCGUGGGAAAAAGUAAGCGAUGACAAAUAUAUUCGUCAAAUACAGGGACUCGUCGUUUCUUCGUGACGAGUAUACUCGUCGAAAGAGCUAAGGUCCAUUGGCUUCUCAAUUUCAAUUAUUCAUUGGAACUGUAUGGUCAGAUUAUUCGUCGACCAACUUUUCGGGAGGUAGAUUAAUUACACUUUUUGCAAAUUUCUCAAUUUCAUUAGGAUUUGGGGUAAUUUACAUACGUCCGUGACUCUGCAUUUGUGAAUUUGAGAAUUGAGAUUCUCUGAAAAGUAAAAUAUAACGCGUUUCCGCGAAUACAGUUGCGAGCGUAUAAAUAGACAAGUGGUUGCACGUAAAUCCAACUAAUUGUAUCUGUGUCAUAAAAGCUUUAAUUUAUGUUUUUCUCGUCCUGUGAUACACGAUCUAGAAAUAUAUUGCUCGCGCUUUGAAGCGCUAUGAAUAUAGAACAGCGUGCAAAUUUUUAUUUCCAGUAAUAAUCACAAACUGAUUGCCAGUUAUAAUUGAUACAGAUAAACAUCUCAAUUAUUUAUCACAAUAAAAUAAGUAUAAGUAACCGUAAAUUUCUAUUACUAAUUUAAUAAUAAGCCGAUCGCUUAUAUUGUAAAUCGUCGAAAGUGAGAAUAUGCUGCAAACAAUUGUACGUCUCGAUCCAGUUUUUAUAGUCACGUGAAUUUUAUCAAGCGCAUAACUACAUCAAAUUAUUAAGUAAAGUGUCGCACAGAUCAAAAUUUACUGUCCACUUUGUACUAAUUAUGCACGCCACUUACCGAGGGCUCAUUUGUGCGUGUUUCGCAGCGAAAGGAUCACAACGUUCCGUCAGCGUUCAUAAUAGCCUUGCCAGUAAUUUGAAAUAAAAUAACAGAAUGUAGUUUGUGGUUUAAUUAAAAUUAUUCAACUCGGACAACUUGCAAUACUCUUAUCGUUAGAAGCGUAUAAAAUUAGAUGAAUCAAUUUGCGUGUACGAUGGAAAUUAAAUUUCACUGUUGCGUGGAUAAACGCAUAAAUUAUUUUCAUACGCGUAAUCCUAUCAAUGACUAUGUUACAUCAACUUUCCAUUUUAAACGUUAUAGAAAUUGAUAAAAAAUUACCUGUGCAAAGUGAAAAAAAUUUUUUGAGAAGUAAAACAGCAUCUGUUUUAUCAGAUGGAAAACUUUUUUAAAUAGCGAAAAAUAACAUUUGCGAAUUUUACAUGUUGCUCGAUUUUACCAACAUCUACAAAUUCCUUUGUUCCCUCCAUUAAUGACACUUUACUCGAUCAUCUUUAUUAUGCGCGUAGAUCUAAUCUGCUGACCGCCAAUAUCACUUUGCAAAGUACAUUAACAGCUAAUGGCGUAUAGGUAUGGUACACUUAGUAUUACGUCGAAUAAUAUGGUGGAAUUAAAUGAGACGGAAAUUGCAAGCACAGAGUUGUUUAAGCGAAAGGAGACGAGAAUUGUCAUUAUAAGAACUGAAAGUGAAGAAGUAAAAUGUAAAUUGGAAUUUUUCCCUGUUGCUAUUCUUUGUAUGUUGCAUAUUUUAUAUACCUGCGCGUAAUACUGCGUCUAUUUAUCAGAGAAUUCAAAAUUUCAAAUUCGAGCUUCUAUAAUUUAUUUAUUUUCAAAAAGGACUGUACCAUCCUACCAGCUUGCAGUAUAGUAAAUUUAACAAGAUUCUGUGAAUCAGUUUGCAACAAUGAAUUGAUAGCGAUAAUGCCAUUUAUUGGGAGCAAAUUUUCUCACGCGAUGAUAACACGUGCCGUAACAAAGCCAAUAAAAUCUACGCGCAGAAGAAUAACAGAGUGCCGAUAACAUCGAAUCGUAAUAAUGAAAACCGUCAGAUUGUUUGUAUUCGUAACAAUAUAAUGUACGACAUUGCUGGAAAACAAGCGUCCGUGGAAAGUACAAACGCGUGUAGUUCGACAAGUGCAUUCAAUUUUAAUAAGCAACACGACAGCGAAAGCCAUUUCACUCUGAAAAUGUUCGCAUUUAUCUCAAUAAGCACGAAAAUCGCAUCGCCAACGAGCUCUUACGCUUAUGUUAGGAUGUUUUCUUUAUUCAUUCUACGCCUAUGUAUUGUAUGUAUUUCGACGCAUCGACCGAAAGGUAGCUUAGACAGCUGCCUCAAUUCUGUGACGUGUGAAUAAGCGCGUGUCACUUUACCGACCGCUAGCGAUUCAACAGCAUACGCACGUCCGACCGGCAUCUUAGACGCAGAUUCUCCCCACCGCUGGCUCUGUUUCGGUUUAGACUCUCCAAUACCAUUCUUUUCGUUCAUCGCGAACGUUAAGUUUUUCAAAUUGGUAUAAAACUGUGCGAGCUUACAGAGCAACGCGACUGACGCAACCGAGCAAGGUACAAAUUACUGCUCAAAUAAUGAGAAAAAUUAUCUGCGACAAAAAGCCCAUUAAUAUGCUAUCGGUCGGUAAACGUCGGCGACAAAAACCGACUAACCUCUUCCCGUGCCAUUUAGUUCGACGAAACAGACCAGACUGAUGCUUGUAAACAUUCAGCCACGAUCGUAACGGGCAAAAAAACAGUCCGCGAGCUCGGUUUGUUAUGUUUACGUUUGGGUCAAGUAUGUGGUCGCGAGUCUGACUCGCUAAAGUACGGGAAGCGGUUAACCGGCUAUCGGUCGGUAAAGUGGUAUUAGUCGCACGAUAAAUUCGUUCGAUGCGUUCACGUUCUUUGCAACGUGUUUUACUUACACGGAAUGGUAAAUAGUCGCGUAAGAUGAAAUUGAAGCUGAAAAGGCACUCUCUGCUAAUAGCAAUCAUUUUCAUUAUCACAUAUCAAAUAAUUAGAAGAAAUAUGUGAAUCCAUUUUCUACGUCGCGCGUUGAAUAAAUUUAGCCAACGAUCGUCACAAACGAGUUUUAUCGUUGCACGAGAUGAUCCGAAAGUAAUAGUUCGAAAUAGACGAGGAUAAAG